This 354-nucleotide transfer-messenger RNA is filed under the name bacterium. Its description in RNAcentral is "JABLXZ01 sp024653355 Standard tmRNA". It matches the Rfam family "transfer-messenger RNA". Rfam says of the family: Bacterial tmRNA, also known as 10Sa RNA or SsrA, is named for its dual tRNA and mRNA-like properties. Its role is to liberate the mRNA from a stalled ribosome. RNAcentral also lists the same sequence under 1 other name. The record is from RNAcentral.
GGGGGCGAAUGGUCUCGACGGAGUGAUUGAGGGGUUCAGGGGCAUAGCGAGGCUCCUCUGUUGCCUCGUAAAUAGUAACAGAGGAAAUACAGCUGCCAACAGCAGCUACGCACUGGCUGCCUAAAGCGGGUAGCCCCUUGCCCGACGAUUUUCACCCGGCGUCGGUGCAGGGUCGAUAAGGGUGAUUAAAGUCGUCAUUGUGUCUCAGGAUGGCGACUGGAUUACAACUGAGACUGGCCUGCUGUUGCCUGUCAAUCGGCGAGACAGCGGGUGAGAAAAAAUAGAUUGACUAACUAUGUAGAACCUGGACUCUGAACACUUCGGACGCGGGUUCGAUUCCCGCCGCCUCCAUUU